RNAcentral lists this ribosomal RNA (585 nucleotides) under uncultured bacterium. RNAcentral describes it as "partial 16S ribosomal RNA". It matches the Rfam family "Bacterial small subunit ribosomal RNA", at positions 355 to 1375 of the family's 1533-position model. The record is from RNAcentral.
UGGGGAAUUUUGGACAAUGGGCGAAAGCCUGAUCCAGCAAUGCCGCGUGUGUGAAGAAGGCCUUCGGGUUGUAAAGCACUUUUGUCCGGAAAGAAAUCCUUGGCUCUAAUACAGUCGGGGGAUGACGGUACCGGAAGAAUAAGCACCGGCUAACUACGUGCCAGCAGCCGCGGUAAUACGUAGGGUGCAAGCGUUAAUCGGAAUUACUGGGCGUAAAGCGUGCGCAGGCGGUUUGCUAAGACCGAUGUGAAAUCCCCGGGCUCAACCUGGGAACUGCAUUGGUGACUGGCAGGCUAGAGUAUGGCAGAGGGGGGUAGAAUUCCACGUGUAGCAGUGAAAUGCGUAGAGAUGUGGAGGAAUACCGAUGGCGAAGGCAGCCCCCUGGGCCAAUACUGACGCUCAUGCACGAAAGCGUGGGGAGCAAACAGGAUUAGAUACCCUGGUAGUCCACGCCCUAAACGAUGUCAACUAGUUGUUGGGAUUCAUUUCCUUAGUAACGUAGCUAACGCGUGAAGUUGACCGCCUGGGGAGUACGGUCGCAAGAUUAAAACUUAAAUGGAAUUGACGGGGUCAUAGCUGUUUCCU